Molecule: ribosomal RNA, 183 nt
Filed under: Discoba sp.
Lineage: Eukaryota
Description: partial small subunit ribosomal RNA
Rfam family: Eukaryotic small subunit ribosomal RNA
Source: RNAcentral
CGUUGGUGGAGUGAUUUGUUUGGUUGAUUCCGUGAACGAACGAGAUCUCAGCCUCUAAAUAGGGGCGGGGUCGAUACAGUCGGUGUCGCGGUUCUCCGGAAUUCGCGCCCGUCUAGACGCCCGCUGCCUUCUUAGAGGAACAUCGUGCGUCUUUUAGCACGAUGGAGCGAGCCAAUAGCAGGU